Molecule: small nucleolar RNA, 190 nt
Organism: Urocitellus parryii (Arctic ground squirrel)
Lineage: Eukaryota; Metazoa; Chordata; Mammalia; Rodentia; Sciuridae
Gene: SNORA73
Rfam family: Small nucleolar RNA SNORA73 family
About the family: U17 (SNORA73A and SNORA73B) also known as E1 belongs to the H/ACA class of small nucleolar RNAs (snoRNAs).
Source: Ensembl
CUAACGGGGAUACUCCCUGGGAAGUCACUUUCUUUGGGGCUCUGUCCAAGUGGCCUAAGGGAGCAUAAUCUCUGCUUUGUGAUGUACAGUCCCUUAGCACAAUGCUGGAGAAGAAUCUGGGCUUGCAUAUCUCUACAACUUGUUGGAGUCUUGUGAACAAUGCCUAAGAAGACCAGGAAAAGAAAAAUAU